GACGAACACUGGCGGCGUGCUUAACACAUGCAAGUCGAACGAAGAGCGACGGAAGCUUGCUUCUAUCAAUCUUAGUGGCGAACGGGUGAGUAACGCGUAAUCAACCUGCCCUUCAGAGGGGGACAACAGUUGGAAACGACUGCUAAUACCGCAUACGAUCUAAUCUCGGCAUCGAGGAUGGAUGAAAGGUGGCCUCUACAUGUAAGCUAUCACUGAAGGAGGGGAUUGCGUCUGAUUAGCUAGUUGGAGGGGUAACGGCCCACCAAGGCGAUGAUCAGUAGCCGGUCUGAGAGGAUGAACGGCCACAUUGGGACUGAGACACGGCCCAGACUCCUACGGGAGGCAGCAGUGGGGAAUCUUCCGCAAUGGACGAAAGUCUGACGGAGCAACGCCGCGUGAGUGAUGACGGCCUUCGGGUUGUAAAGCUCUGUUAAUCGGGACGAAAGGCCUUCUUGCGAAUAGUGAGAAGGAUUGACGGUACCGGAAUAGAAAGCCACGGCUAACUACGUG
RNAcentral lists this ribosomal RNA (510 nucleotides) under uncultured bacterium. RNAcentral's name for it is "partial 16S ribosomal RNA". It matches the Rfam family "Bacterial small subunit ribosomal RNA", at positions 28 to 507 of the family's 1533-position model. The record is from RNAcentral.